GGUCAAGCUAAUAAGAGCAUAGGGCGAAUGCCUUGGCACCAGAAGCCGAUGAAGGACGGGGUAAGCACCGAUAUGCUUCGGGGAGCUGCAAACAAGCUUUGAUCCGAGGAUCUCCGAAUGGGGAAACCUACCUAGAUUUUCUAGGUAUCAUCUACUGAAUACAUAGGUAGAUGAAGGGAUACCAGGGGAACUGAAACAUCUAAGUACCCUGAGGAAAAGAAAGAAAACUCGAUUUCCUAAGUAGCGGCGAGCGAAAGGGAAACAGCCUAAACCUAUUGAGUUUACUCUUUAGGGGUUGUGGACCAGCAUUUAAUAAGUUCUUCUUGUAACUGAAUGACCUGGAAAGGUCAACCGUAGAAGGUGAUAGUCCUGUAAGUGAAACUAGUUGACUUAUUGCUGGUAUCCGAAGUACCAUGGGGCACGUGAAAUCCUGUGGGAAGCUGGGAGGACCAUCUCCCAAGGCUAAAUACUAACUGGUGACCGAUAGUGAACAAGUACCGUGAGGGAAAGGUGAAAAGAACCCCGGAAGGGGAGUGAAAUAGAAUCUGAAACCCUAUGUUUACAAGCAGUGGAAGCACUUUAUAUGUGCGACCGCGUACUUUUUGUAGAACGGGCCAGCGAGUUACGAUAUAUAGCAAGGUUAAACUUUUUUAAAGUGAAGCCGUAGGGAAACCAAGUCUCAAUAGGGCGUUUAGUUGUAUGUCGUAGACCCGAAACCGGGUGACCUACCCAUGAGCAGAGCGAAACGAAAGUAAAAUUUCGUGGAGGCUCGAACCGUUUAGUGUUGAAAAACUAUCGGAUGACUUGUGGGUAGCGGUGAAAUUCCAAUCGAACCCGGAUAUAGCUGGUUCUCCUCGAAAUAGCUUUAGGGCUAGCCUCAAGAUAGUGACGUGGA
RNAcentral lists this ribosomal RNA (895 nucleotides) under Anaerosalibacter bizertensis. Its description in RNAcentral is "partial 23S ribosomal RNA". It matches the Rfam family "Bacterial large subunit ribosomal RNA", at positions 1 to 899 of the family's 2925-position model. The record is from RNAcentral. Lineage: Bacteria; Bacillati; Bacillota; Tissierellia; Tissierellales; Sporanaerobacteraceae.